CCCUUAGAUGUUCUGGGCUGCACGCGCGCUACACUGAUGCACUCAACGAGUUUACGACCUUGCCCGAUAGGGUUGGGUAAUCUCUUUAAAAUGCAUCGUGAUGGGGAUAGAUUAUUGCAAUUAUUAAUCUUCAACGAGGAAUUCCUAGUAAGCGCGAGUCAUCAGCUCGUGCUGAUUACGUCCCUGCCCUUUGUACACACCGCCCGUCGCUCCUACCGAUUGAGUGCUCAGGUGAAUAAUUCGGACUGCAGCAAUGUUUGGAUCCCGAACGUUGCAGCGGAAAGUUUAGUGAACCUUAUCACUUAGAGGAAGGAGAAGUCGUAACA
RNAcentral lists this ribosomal RNA (326 nucleotides) under uncultured eukaryote. RNAcentral's name for it is "partial 18S ribosomal RNA". It matches the Rfam family "Eukaryotic small subunit ribosomal RNA", at positions 1470 to 1796 of the family's 1831-position model. The record is from RNAcentral.